ACGGAUGUAGUUAAGUGGAUCGAGGCAGUGGAUUGUGAAUCCACCAUGCGCGAGUUCAACUCCUGUCAUUCGCC
RNAcentral lists this transfer RNA (74 nucleotides) under Punica granatum (pomegranate). It matches the Rfam family "tRNA". Rfam says of the family: Transfer RNA (tRNA) molecules are approximately 80 nucleotides in length. Their secondary structure includes four short double-helical elements and three loops (D, anti-codon, and T loops). The record is from Rfam by way of RNAcentral. Lineage: Eukaryota; Viridiplantae; Streptophyta; Magnoliopsida; Myrtales; Lythraceae.